This 463-nucleotide ribosomal RNA is filed under the name uncultured bacterium. Its description in RNAcentral is "partial 16S ribosomal RNA". It matches the Rfam family "Bacterial small subunit ribosomal RNA", at positions 28 to 507 of the family's 1533-position model. The record is from RNAcentral.
GACGAACGCUGGCGGCACGCCUAACACAUGCAAGUCGAACGGACUUACAAGAGCUUGCUUUUUUAAGUUAGUGGCGGACGGGUGAGUAACACGUGAGCAACCUGCCUCUGAGAGGGGGAUAGCUUCUGGAAACGGAUGGUAAUACCCCAUAAAAUAUAAAUAUCGCAUGAUAGAUAUAUCAAAGAAAUUCGCUCAGAGAUGGGCUCGCGUCUGAUUAGAUAGUUGGUGAGGUAACGGCUCACCAAGUCGACGAUCAGUAGCCGGACUGAGAGGUUGAACGGCCACAGUGGGACUGAGACACGGCCCAGACUCCUACGGGAGGCAGCAGUGGGGAAUAUUGCACAAUGGAGGGAACUCUGAUGCAGCGAUGCCGCGUGGAGGAAGAAGGUUUUCGGAUUGUAAACUCCUUUUAUCAGGGACGAUAAUGACGGUACCUGAAGAAAAAGCUCCGGCUAACUACGUG